This 1097-nucleotide long non-coding RNA is filed under the name Bos indicus x Bos taurus (hybrid cattle). RNAcentral describes it as "lncRNA (ENSBIXG00005007085.1)". Lineage: Eukaryota; Metazoa; Chordata; Mammalia; Artiodactyla; Bovidae. The record is from RNAcentral.
CUUGGGUGGUAUUUUUUUAUGGGCAAACUAAUUAAAGCUACUAAAAAAAAGUACAACCUUGAUAUUUGCUCUAGUAUCUAGAAUGUUUGGUUUGGACAUGUCCCGGCAUCUGAUUUUAAACACCAGGCCCCCCUAUAACAUGACCUCUUAAAUCAUUUUUACAGUUUCUUCCUGAACACUCUAGUCAUGCACCCCAUUUUCUAGUGAUUUUUAACAAAUGAAUUAUUAUGCUCAUAGAUAUUCAGUUCCUGGUAAUCAGAAACUUACAACUCAGCAGACCUCUUGGCAGACCUACAGGGUAUAAGUGUGGACCAAGCCCCCAGUCCCCGUCAGAGGCUGUAUCUUGAAGCAUCUUUGGAAUCUACGUGUGCUGCUUCACAGAGAAAGCUGAUCUAGGCUUUCUCUCUGCUGUUGGCAUCUGAGUUCCCUGAAGAGGGUUUUCUGAGGGCUCUUAAGUCGAUUGCAAAAGAGCCCGGGAUGAAUCUACACCUAAAAGUCUGCUGUAUUCUUCACCUGGCACAGAAUUGAGAGCCAGCUGGAAAGGCAGGUGCGAUCUGACCAGACACUUCUGCUGGACUCCUUUCCAGCACCUGGCAGCUGUGACCCUGGAAGGCAGUGCUGUAGCCACCCAGUCGAGCAGAGGUGAUGUUGUAGGUGGGAUUCCGCUCUUGGUUUACUGGGUGGGGUGGGGGGUGGUGCUGCUUGCUCCCCCUCUAAAAUGCAAUGCAAAAAGGACAUUGUGUAUAUGCAGCAUUUGUUUGGUUGUUUUUCUUUUUUAAUUUUUUUUUUGCAUCUGUUUACUUUGCAGUUGUUAAGUCUGUAUGCAUGAGAGAAAAAUAUAACAACAUGAGUUGGGAGUAAAGUAAUCAGGCAGUAAAGAGAAUGAACAGUAAGAACAAUGGACCUGGUCAACAGAGCUGUGUUGUCAGAAGAGAGACAGUUGUUGGACACCGGGAUGCAUCACGCAGGGAAUGGAGGGAAUGGGCUUCAGUGCAGAAGUGAAGAUUGCCUUCAGCCACAGCUGGCCUCCGUUCUUUAGGGAAGUACAGCCAGCCUUCUUAGUAAGGGUUGUCGCAAUCAGAACUCUGAUUGAAGAU